AGAGUUUGAUCCUGGCUCAGGAUGAACGCUAGCGGCAGGCCUAAUACAUGCAAGUCGAACGGUAACAUUGGUGCUUACACCAGAUGACGAGUGGCGCACGGGUGCGUAACGCGUAUGCAAUCUACCUUUUACUAGAGUAUAGCCCAGAGAAAUUUGGAUUAAUCCUCUAUAAUAUCUUUUAAUUUCAUGAUUUUAAGAUUAAAGUUUUAACGGUAAAAGAUGAGCAUGCGUCCUAUUAGUUUGUAGGUGAGGUAACGGCUCACCUAGACUACGAUAGGUAGGGGCCCUGAGAGGGAGAUCCCCCACACUGGUACUGAGACACGGACCAGACUCCUACGGGAGGCAGCAGUAAGGAAUAUUGGACAAUGGACGAAAGUCUGAUCCAGCCAUGCCGCGUGCAGGAUGAAAGCCCUAUGGGUUGUAAACUGCUUUUAUACAGGAAGAAACACUCCGACGUGUCGGAGCUUGACGGUACUGUAAGAAUAAGGAUCGGCUAACUCCGUGCCAGCAGCCGCGGUAAUA
RNAcentral lists this ribosomal RNA (522 nucleotides) under uncultured Flavobacteriia bacterium. RNAcentral describes it as "bacterial SSU rRNA". It matches the Rfam family "Bacterial small subunit ribosomal RNA", at positions 8 to 525 of the family's 1533-position model. Lineage: Bacteria; Pseudomonadati; Bacteroidota; Flavobacteriia. The record is from RNAcentral.